UGGGGAAUAUUGCACAAUGGGCGAAAGCCUGAUGCAGCGACGCCGCGUGAGGGAUGACGGCCUUCGGGUUGUAAACCUCUUUCAGUAGGGAAGAAGCCGCGAGGUGACGGUACCUGCAGAAGAAGCGCCGGCUAA
This 135-nucleotide ribosomal RNA is filed under the name Arthrobacter sp. SR-M. Its description in RNAcentral is "partial 16S ribosomal RNA". It matches the Rfam family "Bacterial small subunit ribosomal RNA", at positions 355 to 500 of the family's 1533-position model. Lineage: Bacteria; Bacillati; Actinomycetota; Actinomycetes; Micrococcales; Micrococcaceae. The record is from RNAcentral.